This 444-nucleotide ribosomal RNA is filed under the name uncultured bacterium. Its description in RNAcentral is "partial 16S ribosomal RNA". It matches the Rfam family "Bacterial small subunit ribosomal RNA", at positions 338 to 795 of the family's 1533-position model. The record is from RNAcentral.
CCUACGGGGUGCAGCAGUGGGGCAUAUUGGGCAAUGGAGGAAACUCUGACCCAGCAAUGCCGCGUGAAUGCAGAAGGUCUUCGGAUUGUAAAGUUCUUUAGUCAGUGAAGAAGUCAAUGACGGUACCUGAAGAAUAAGCUCCGGCUCACUACGUGCCAGCAGCCGCGGUAAUACGUAGGGAGCAAGCGUUGUUCGGAAUGACUGGGCGUAAAGGGUGCGUAGGCGGUUGUACAAGUUAGAAGUGAAAUACCCAGGGCUUAACUCGGGUGCUGCUUCUAAAACUGUAUGACUUGUGUGCAGUAGAGGUUAGUGGAAUCGCUAGUGUAGCGGUGGAAUGCGUAGAUAUUAGGAGGAACACCAGAGGCGAAGGCGGCUAACUGGACUGCAACUGACGCUGAGGCACGAAAGUGUGGGGAGCAAACAGGAUUAGAUACCCCGGUAGUC